GAUGAACGCUGGCGGCGUGCCUAAUACAUGCCAGUCGAGCGAACGGACGAGAAGCUUGCUUCUCUGAUGUUAGCGGCGGACGGGUGAGUAACACGUGGAUAACCUACCUAUAAGACUGGGAUAACUUCGGGAAACCGUAGCUAAUACCGGAUAAUAUUUUGAACCGCAUGGUUCAAAAGUGAAAGACAGUCUUGCUGUCACUUAUAGAUGGAUCCGCGCUGCAUUAGCUAGUUGGUAAGGUAACGGCUUACCAAGGCAACGAUGCAUAGCCGACCUGAGAGGGUGAUCGGCCACACUGGAACUGAGACACGGUCCAGACUCCUACGGGAGGCAGCAGUAGGGAAUCUUCCGCAAUGGGCGAAAGCCUGACGGAGCAACGCCGCGUGAGUGAUGAAGGUCUUCGGAUCGUAAAACUCUGUUAUUAGGGAAGAACAUAUGUGUAAGUAACUGUGCACAUCUUGACGGUACCUAAUCAGAAAGCCACGGCUAACUACGUG
This 497-nucleotide ribosomal RNA is filed under the name uncultured bacterium. RNAcentral describes it as "partial 16S ribosomal RNA". It matches the Rfam family "Bacterial small subunit ribosomal RNA", at positions 28 to 507 of the family's 1533-position model. The record is from RNAcentral.